Molecule: ribosomal RNA, 468 nt
Filed under: uncultured bacterium
Lineage: Bacteria
Description: partial 16S ribosomal RNA
Rfam family: Bacterial small subunit ribosomal RNA
Source: RNAcentral
GACGAACGCUGGCGGCGUGCUUAACACAUGCAAGUCGAACGGAAAGGCCCUGCUUUUGUGGGGUGCUCGAGUGGCGAACGGGUGAGUAACACGUGAGUAACCUGCCCUUGACUUUGGGAUAACUUCAGGAAACUGGGGCUAAUACCGGAUAGGAGCUCCUGCUGCAUGGUGGGGGUUGGAAAGAUUCGGCGGUUGGGGCUGGACUCGCGGCUUAUCAGCUUGUUGGUGGGGUAGUGGCUUACCAAGGCUUUGACGGGUAGCCGGCCUGAGAGGGUGACCGGCCACAUUGGGACUGAGAUACGGCCCAGACUCCUACGGGAGGCAGCAGUGGGGAAUAUUGCACAAUGGGCGGAAGCCUGAUGCAGAAACGCCGCGUGCGGGAUGACGGCCUUCGGGUUGUAAACCGCUUUCGCCUGUGACGAAGCGUGAGUGACGGUAAUGGGUAAAGAAGCACCGGCUAACUACGUG